CUAUUAAACUAGCUUUUCCCUGCCGUACGACUCCACACGUUUUCUGUCAAACGACUACCUGUCAAACGACUUCCUCAUGAAUUGGUUCGUACGACUCCAGGGCCAACCAUAUGACGGUCGUCGGAACGGCCAGGUUCGUUAGUUCUAGUAGUCGUUCAGUUAUUGCCUCUGCCAGCUCGUGACAGUAGUGUGAUUUGGACGUUGUGGUCACUCUACUGACUUCUAACCCAACACCAACCUCACUCUCCUCUUCGUUUAGUGAACUGGUCAACUUAGGAACCCACAUGUUCUGCCGGCUCGACACCGUCCACUUCCUCGGCGACGGCGACGGGCGCGGCUUCUUCGCGUUGACGAGGUACCACAAGUGGGAGUUGCUCUACCUCCUCCGGUGGCCGUACAAGUCGCUGUUCUUGGAGUAUCCGUUCCCGCCGAAGCCGGCACAAAUGUCCCCGCACGAGUUUCUACCCGUCUAAGAGAACUAACCUCACCUCUCCUCGUCUCUGCUCUCCUAGUCGUCUUCACCUGUCGCGUCGCCGACUGGAACUCGAGAACUAACCUCACCCCCCUCCGCCGGCCGCUUCCUAGACACCGGUUGUUGCUUCCUAGGCUUCAACAGCACCUCGUCCGUCGGCCGCCCUUCCCGCCAGCCGCUCCCUCGACGCCUAGAACCGCGCCUUCCCGUCGGAUACUCCCUCGACGCCUGGUACCGCCCCUUCCCGCCGGCCGGCCGUUCCCUCGACGCCUGGCGCCGCCCCUUCCUGCGGCCUCUACGCCUGCUGCCUCCUCGGGCCACUUUCCCUCGUCGCUGCCGCUUCUUCGGACCGCCUCCCCUCCUCGCUGCCUCCUUCUGCGGAGGGCUACCUAGUUUAGCCCCCAUCAUAACAUUAAAGUGUGAUAAAGUGGACCAGCCUUUCUACGGGGGUCGCUGUUAAUAAAGCCUUGCCUCCCUCAUUAAAAAAUGUAUUGGAUCUUACAAGAAGACUUGAUAUUAAAAC
This 995-nucleotide ribosomal RNA is filed under the name Triticum aestivum (bread wheat). Its description in RNAcentral is "partial small subunit ribosomal RNA". Lineage: Eukaryota; Viridiplantae; Streptophyta; Magnoliopsida; Poales; Poaceae. The record is from RNAcentral.